Molecule: ribosomal RNA, 458 nt
Filed under: uncultured Sphingobacteriales bacterium
Lineage: Bacteria; Pseudomonadati; Bacteroidota; Sphingobacteriia; Sphingobacteriales
Description: bacterial SSU rRNA
Rfam family: Bacterial small subunit ribosomal RNA
Source: RNAcentral
CACAAGCGGUGGAGCAUGUGGUUUAAUUCGAUGAUACGCGAGGAACCUUACCUGGGCUCGAACGUAAGAUGACUGUAGGUGAAAGCUUACAUCUCUUCGGAGCAUUUUACGAGGUGCUGCAUGGUUGUCGUCAGCUCGUGCCGUGAGGUGUCGGGUUAAGUCCCAUAACGAGCGCAACCCCUAUCAUUAGUUGCCAUCAGGUCAAGCUGGGGACUCUAAUGAAACUGCCUACGCAAGUAGUGAGGAAGGUGGGGAUGACGUCAAAUCAGCACGGCCCUUACGUCCAGGGCUACACACGUGCUACAAUGGCCGGUACAAAGGGCAGCUACCUGGUGACAGGAUGCUAAUCUCAAAAGCCGGUCUCAGUUCGGAUCGGAGUCUGCAACCCGACUCCGUGAAGUUGGAUUCGCUAGUAAUCGCGCAUCAGCCAUGGCGCGGUGAAUACGUUCCCGGGCCUU